This 494-nucleotide ribosomal RNA is filed under the name fungal sp. ARIZ B487. RNAcentral describes it as "eukaryotic LSU rRNA". The stretch from base 179 to 332 matches the Rfam family "5.8S ribosomal RNA". Lineage: Eukaryota; Fungi. The record is from RNAcentral.
UUACAGAGUCGCAUACUCCGUAAACCAUUGUGAACGUUACCCUAACCGUUGCUUCGGCGGGCGGCGCCCGGGCCUCACCGCCCGCGGCGCCCCCAGGCCCCCCGUGGGCGCCCGCCGGAGGUACACCAAACUCUUGCAUUGUAUGGCCUCUCUGAGUAUUCUGUACUGAAUAAGUCAAAACUUUCAACAACGGAUCUCUUGGUUCUGGCAUCGAUGAAGAACGCAGCGAAAUGCGAUAAGUAAUGUGAAUUGCAGAAUUCAGUGAAUCAUCGAAUCUUUGAACGCACAUUGCGCCCGCCAGUAUUCUGGCGGGCAUGCCUGUUCGAGCGUCAUUUCAACCAUCAAGCCCCCGGGCUUGUGUUGGGGACCUGCGGCUGCCGCAGGCCCCGAAAACCAGUGGCGGGCUCGCUGUCACCCCGAGCGUAGUAGUUUACACCUCGCCCAGGGCGUGCCGCGGGUUCCCGGCCGUUAAACCCCCCAUACCACAAGGUGAC